UUGUUGGUUCUGACCUCCUUUAUGACUCGCUUAGGAGUCAAAUCGAAGAUCUCCUAAGUGAGCAACAAAAGAAUACUCCCAGAGCCAUGAUUUUGGAGCAAUAAACGAUUUUUGUCGAUUUUGUACUCCUUUAUUACUCGCUUAGGAGCAAAACGCGAUGUCUCCUAAGAGAGUAAUCCUGGAGUAUUCCUUUUGAUUGAUAGGGGAGCUAUAGGCACCUCGUUCAAAAGAAAUUGCGUAUUAUUGGAAAAAUUUAUCAUAAGGAAAACUACAGAAAAUAUUUCAUAUGGAAACGAUAUAAGGAGGAUGCAAUAAUUGAAUGACGAUAGCACACAGUUAAAUGAAGGUCCAUCGAUUAUCAAAUUAGUGUCAGCAUUUACGUAUGACCACCUGGUUUUAACACUCAUAUAGUGCCGGUCCAGAGCUUUUACUGGGGGACAUAGCUAUCAGAUGGGCUAAGUAACCAUCACAUUGAGCGUGGUUAAAACAAGAAAGUUUUAUACACUCUCCCUAUUUGCGUGAGCUCCUGAACACCCAAGCAUCCCUGAUACCAGGAAAUCAUGUAGUUAUCUCACCGUUUUAUUAUUAUUCUGUUUUACUUUGAAUGUAUUUGACCGCAUUAGAAUUCCAAUAUUAAUCAAAAAUGUAAUAAGUAUUACUUAUG
Molecule: long non-coding RNA, 664 nt
Filed under: Rhagoletis pomonella (apple maggot)
Lineage: Eukaryota; Metazoa; Arthropoda; Insecta; Diptera; Tephritidae
Description: uncharacterized LOC118755774
Source: RNAcentral